AUCAUUUAUAAGGAUGAGACUGGAAAUAGGAGCAAGAAAUAGGGCAGGGACUUCCCAAGGACAGGGCAGUGAGAGCUGUUACCAUCUGUAGGGCACAGCAAGCCAGUAGAAGUUAUCUGAAUCUAAAGCGGGUGGUUGGACAAAGAAGGUGUUUGUGGGAGCUGUAGCCCUUGGUAAGGUGACGCAGACAAUCAUGGCAGUGACCUGGUCAGCUUCUCUGAUGAAGACACAAAAGCAGGGAAGAAAAAAAUGAACUGAGGAUUUAGAGAGAUAUCCAUCUCAUCCCCUCUUAACGCAUAUUUAUUGAAAAUCACUCUUCAUCUUGGAAACAACAGAGUGGGAGUUUUUCAUCAACAGAACUAAAAAGCAAUUCAUAUUUUGAACUAUAUGUGGAAAAGAGACACAAAGACUCAUACAUGUUAUAAGGCUACUACUGCUUCUUAAAGGUGUAAAUACAAAUGAAGAAAAAAAUGAGUUCCUGAGUUUUGUUUCCCAUGGCCAUGCCAAGAAUUCUGAUGGCAAACUCUUCUGCUGAUAAUAAUUUUCCUGACAGUUGUUCAGUGGACUCUGCCUGGUUUCUAAAAAUUAUGCACCAUAGUUGAAGUACACAAGAGAAAAGCUGUUGUUAAUUCACUGAAAAUAAUUAAAAAUUAAUCAUAACUGCAUACAAUGUGAUUUAAUUUCUUAUUCUUAUUACAUUAAAAACUUCUUGGAAGCAGGAAUGAUAUCUUAUGUAUCCAGCAUUCACAGCCACUAAACAUUUCUUACUUUGCAGCCAAGCAAUGUGUGAGGAAGAGCCCAGCAUGGCAUGUACAUUCUCCUUGGCUACAUCAUAGUAAUAUUUCCUUUAUUCUUAUUUUCCUUCUAUCCUGCUUUUCACAUUUAUUUCCUUUCUACCUGUCUUUGGUCAGAUUUUUGCAUGCUUCCAUUUCCAAAAGUGUAUAUGAUAAUAUAGGUUGCAUUCUAAAACAGCUUUUCACAGUUGAACGUCUCUACAAAAAAUGUUUUAGUGUCACAAAUUUUAUCUAAAAAUAGUCUAUCAUAAUU
Molecule: long non-coding RNA, 1047 nt
Organism: Heterocephalus glaber (naked mole-rat)
Lineage: Eukaryota; Metazoa; Chordata; Mammalia; Rodentia; Bathyergidae
Source: RefSeq, a predicted model, not a curated record